Molecule: transfer RNA, 71 nt
Filed under: Phrynosoma platyrhinos (Desert horned lizard)
Lineage: Eukaryota; Metazoa; Chordata; Lepidosauria; Squamata; Phrynosomatidae
Description: tRNA-OTHER
Source: RNAcentral
GCCAGCAUGUUGUAGUGGUUUGAGCAUUGGAUUAUGACUCUGGAGACCAGGGUUCAAAUCCCAGUUUGGCC